GCAGGGUUAGUUCAUCGGUAGAACGGUCGCUUCCCAAGCCACAGAGGCGGGUUCGAUUCCCGUACCCUGCUCCA
RNAcentral lists this transfer RNA (74 nucleotides) under Butyricicoccus pullicaecorum. RNAcentral's name for it is "tRNA-Gly". It matches the Rfam family "tRNA". Rfam says of the family: Transfer RNA (tRNA) molecules are approximately 80 nucleotides in length. Their secondary structure includes four short double-helical elements and three loops (D, anti-codon, and T loops). RNAcentral also lists the same sequence under 28 other names. The record is from RNAcentral. Lineage: Bacteria; Bacillati; Bacillota; Clostridia; Eubacteriales; Butyricicoccaceae.